Molecule: ribosomal RNA, 1357 nt
Filed under: Sabethes cyaneus
Lineage: Eukaryota; Metazoa; Arthropoda; Insecta; Diptera; Culicidae
Description: 16S ribosomal RNA
Source: RNAcentral
AUUAAUUUUAAAGUUUAAAAUAAUAGUAGUUAAUAAAAAUAAUUUUAAUUAUUUAAGUUUUAGUAUUUUUUAAAGAAAUAAUAAUUUUUAUAAUAGUAUAUUUGUAUUGUAAAAGAUAAUUGAAAUAAUUUGAAAAAUUUUUAUUAAAAAAGAAAAUUUAAUUUAUUGUACCUUGUGUAUCAGGGUUUAUUAAAUAAUUAAUAGUUAAAGUUAUUUUUUUCGAAUUUUAAAGAUUUAAUUAUAUAUAAAAGUUACUGUAGAAUAAUUAUUUUAAAUAUAUAAUUAGAAAUGAAAUGUUAAUCGUUUUAAAAUAUAUCUAGUUUUUUAAGAAAUAAAUUUAAUUUAGAUUUAUUAAUUAAAUUUAUUAAUUAGUUAAUAAAUUAAAAUUAUAAAUUUAAUAUUUUAAGGGAUUAGCUUUAAAAUAAAUUUAUAUAUUUUUUAUAAUGUAAAUUUAAAUGUAAGUUUAAAAUUAGCUAUCUUUAAUAAUUUUGUUAUAAAUUAUAAAUUUGUGUAUAAUAUUUAUUAUUAAAUUAAAUUUUUUAUUAAAAUAUUUAUUUAAAUUUUAAUAAUUUAUUAAUUAUGAUAAAAUUAGUAUAUAUAUAUAAAUUUAAUAAUAAAUAAAUUUGAAAGGUUUUAAUAAAGAAUUCGGCAAAUUUUAUAUUCACCUGUUUAUCAAAAACAUGUCUUUUUGUAUUUAAUUUAAAGUCUAACCUGCCCACUGAAAAUUUUUAAAGGGCCGCAGUAUUUUGACUGUGCAAAGGUAGCAUAAUCAAUAGUCUUUUAAUUGAAGGCUUGUAUGAAUGGUUGAAUGAGAUAUAAACUGUUUUUUUAAAAAUUUUAUAGAAUUUUAUUUUUUAAUUAAAAAGUUAAAAUAAAAUUAAAAGACGAGAAGACCCUAUAGAUCUUUAUUUUUAUUUUUUAUAAUUUAAUAAGAUUAUUUAAAAUUAUAAUUUUAUUAAGAAUUUUACUGGGGUGGUAUUAAAAUUUAAUAAACUUUUACUUAUAAUUACAUAAAUUUAUGAAUAAUUGAUCUAAUAAUAUUGAUUAAAAAAUUAAGUUACCUUAGGGAUAACAGCGUAAUUUUUUUUUAGAGUUCAUAUCGACAAAAAAGAUUGCGACCUCGAUGUUGGAUUAAGAGUUAUUUUUAGGUGUAGAAGUUUAAAAUUUAAGUCUGUUCGACUUUUAGAUUCUUACAUGAUCUGAGUUCAAACCGGUGUAAGCCAGGUUGGUUUCUAUCUUUAAUAAAAAAUUAUAUUAUAGUACGAAAGGACCUAAUAUAAAAAAUAUAAAUUUUAUAAUUAUUGAAUAAUAAUAAAAUAAUUUACUAUUUUGGCAGAUUAGUGCAAUAAAUUUAGAA